GACAGGGAGCAGACUUGGCACCCCCAGAGUUCUUCUCCCAGCAAUCACAACAGCUGCAUCCUCCAUUGCUCUGUGUGUGUUGAUGGAGGAGGUGAUCUCAAAGUGAGACAUCUGGGACCAGGAUUUGGAGCAGCAGAUCUCAAAUGUCCAUCAUUGACACUGCCUGAGUACAGGCACCAAAGGGGUCACCUGAGCCAUAAGACAGCCUUCCUGCCUAACAAGACUGCUGUGCCUCAGGGACAUGAGGGCUCUCUCCUGACACUGGUACUUCCCAAGGAAGCAAAGAGACCAGCUCAGAAGAGCAAUGAAAGCCACCUGAGAACUGCCGCCUCUGCCCACCCCUCCCUUUUAAAACUAGUCACUGAAUGACAACGCCCCUGCCAGAUUAGAAUCUGGCUUUCCCUCCUCCUGAGACAUCACUGCCAAUAUAAUUUCUCCUACAAGGCAA
Suricata suricatta (meerkat) is the source of this 448-nucleotide long non-coding RNA. RefSeq lists it as uncharacterized. The record is from RefSeq and is a predicted model, not a curated record. The transcript is spliced from 2 exons. NCBI's taxonomy places the organism in Eukaryota, Metazoa, Chordata, Mammalia, Carnivora, Herpestidae.